AAACUAACCAGGAUUCCCCUAGUAACGGCGAGUGAAGCGGGAAGAGCUCAAGCUUAAAAUCUCUAUGCAAGUUUUGCAUGGCGAAUUGUAGUCUAUAGAGGCGCUGUCAGUGCAGCUAUUUGGGAUAAGUUCCUUGGAAGAGGACAGCAUCGAGGGUGAUACUCCCGUUUGUGCCUGAGUAGCUUGUGCGUACGACACGUUUUCUUUGAGUCGCGUUGUUUGGGACUGCAGCGCAAAGUAGGUGGUAAAUUCCAUCUAAAGCUAAAUAUUGGUGCGAGACCGAUAGCGAACAAGUACCGUGAGGGAAAGAUGAAAAGAACUUUGAAAAGAGAGUUAAAGAGUACCUGAAACUGCUGAAAGGGAAGCGAAUCGUAUCCAGUGUCUAUAAUCUGUAGCAUAUUUCAUUGGCGAGUAGGUGCGUGCAGUAUGUAAGAAGUGGUUUUCUGCUCUUUGUGCUGUUCUGCGUUUGCUUGUUGGUGCCCUGUGUUGCGGUGGGACGUCAGAGUCAGUUCGUAUGCUGUGAGAAAUGGCUACUGAGGAGGUAGGUUAGGAGCUUGCUCUUGGCUGUUAUAUCUUGGUAGUUAGUUGUCGUGGUUGGGACUGAGGUGCCUACAAUGUGCUUUAAAGUGUUUGGGACUCUCGUUUGGUUACCUGUUUGGAUAGCUUGCUAUGCUGACGGAGUGAUUGGUCGAUUGAGAUCUAGAGUAACUUUUGCCGUUCGGGACUUUGACGAAAUGGAGCGAUUCGGC
RNAcentral lists this ribosomal RNA (749 nucleotides) under Globisporangium ultimum. RNAcentral's name for it is "partial large subunit ribosomal RNA". It matches the Rfam family "Eukaryotic large subunit ribosomal RNA", at positions 62 to 648 of the family's 3401-position model. The record is from RNAcentral. Lineage: Eukaryota; Oomycota; Peronosporomycetes; Pythiales; Pythiaceae.